Molecule: RNA transcript, 5176 nt
Organism: Sceloporus undulatus (fence lizard)
Lineage: Eukaryota; Metazoa; Chordata; Lepidosauria; Squamata; Phrynosomatidae
Gene: IGF1
Gene name: insulin like growth factor 1
Exons: 5
Source: RefSeq, a predicted model, not a curated record
CCAGCUGUUUCCUGUCUACAGUGUCUGUAAUGUAGAUAAAUGUGAGGAUUUUCUCUAAAUCCCUCUUCUGUUUGCUAAAUCUCACUGUCACUGCUAAAAUCAGAACAGAUCGAGCCUGCGCAAUGGAAUAAAAGUCCUCAAUAUUGAAAUGUAAAUUGCUCUCAACAUCUCACCUCUCUCUGGAGUUCUUUUUCUUUUUUUCUUUUCCCCCUCCCCCCUCAUUAUUUCUGCUAACCAAUUCAUUUCCAGAGUUUGCACUUAAGAAGCAAUGGGGAAAAUCAACAGUCUUUCAACACAAUUAUUUAAGUGCUGCUUUUGUGAUUUCUUGAAGGUGAAGAUGCUUACUGUGUCCUAUGUUCAUCUCUUCUACUUUGGCCUGUGCUUUCUUACAUUGACCAGUUCAUCAGUGGCAGCUGGCCCAGAGACACUUUGUGGUGCUGAAUUGGUGGAUGCUCUUCAGUUUGUCUGUGGAGAAAGAGGUUUUUAUUUCAGCAAACCAGCGGGGUAUGGAGGCAUUCGACGUCCAUCUCCUACCAAAGGAAUAGUGGAUGAAUGUUGUUUCCAAAGCUGUGACCUGAGACGGUUGGAGAUGUAUUGCGCUCCAGUAAAACCACCUAAAUCUGCACGAUCUGUACGUGCUCAGCGCCACACCGACAUGCCCAAAGCACAAAAGGAAGUGCAUUUGAAGAAUACAAGUAGAGGAAACACGGGAAACAGGAACUACAGAAUGUAAGAAAAUACCAUCCAUAAGAGUGAAGAAUGAACGUGUCAUCUGCAGGAUAUUUUGCUGUAAAUAAAUUGUCAAAGAUUGGACAAAACACUAGAGUUCAAUAAGCUUGAUGAAAUCUCCACUAAUGGGCAUUCUCCCAAUGAACAAUGCAAGUAAACAUUCCAAUAGAAACCAUCUCAGUGCUAAAAUGUUUCUGAGAGUAGUAGAUUGCUGUUCCAAUUUUUCAUCAAUUUUAAAAUGUCCUGCAUACACAACCAUACACUCAAAUACAGAAACACAUUCCUCUUUCUGUGCCCCUCAAAAGCCUGUAAAUGUAUAGGCCUUUGAUGGAUCCAAUUGCACUAAAUUAACUUAUGAACCUUGCUGUUGGAGUCGUUCACCAGCCUUAUCUAAGUGGGUUGUGGUUUUUUUUAAAUAUUUGCACUUCCAUACAAGCAACAGACAGUUUGCCUUGCAGUGUCUGAUAACAGUUUGUUUGCCCCUUCCAUAUUUGCACAGUUUGACGUUCCCAGUAGCAGCAGUAAGUAAUACAUUAAUUUCACCCACUGUAUUUUGACAGCAUAUGACUUACGUGCAUUUGCUCCAAGCAGGGAUCCUGAUGUGCUUCAAUAUGCACACACAGCUCUUCCAUGAGUAGGAGUCCCCAUUUACUUCUAUGAAGGAAUCUGCUAUACCCAUUUCCCCCUCUUUUUGCAUAUAAACCUCCUCUUAGUCACUGAAGUGCAGGGGAAAGCCCACAUACACUAGAGACCCAUGUAUAGGGGCCCCCCAAAUCUGCAACAAACCUCUGGAUCAGGAUAACAGAGUUUAAGAGUUAAGUUUCCCCCCUUCCCAACUCUUGACAACACACAACACAGAGAUGCAACAAAACUAAGAUGACUGACUGGCUAGAAUCAGCUAAGUCAGCACACACAGGUCAGGGACGUAGCUAGGAUUUUAGGAAGGGGGGGUCCAGGCUAAGUGCCAUCAUUAUAAUGGGGCUUGGGUGCGGCGGCGCAGCAGCACACACCAUUCAUUUUUCUAAUGGAGGGGGGGGUCCGGACCCCAAGAACCCCCCCCCCUUGGCUACGUCCCUGCACAGGCUGUUUUAAAUCAUCACUGCUUCUUUCAGGUAGUGAAUUCCUUUGCAACCAUAUAAAUAGACUGCCUUCUCUUCCAUAUAGUGCAGCAUAUAGAAAUUUAGCAUAUCAAUAAUACACAUAUAAUCAACAGUAUGUACAACUAUUUCAUGGUACAAUGGUGCUAUUUUGUAGCUUGUUUUGUGAAAGGGGUCUGGCCAAAGGUGUAAGAGGUAAAAGCAAAAUAAUACAUUUAGAGUGCAAUGGAACAAAGCCAAAGAGUAAAGGAAAGAGGUUUUGCAAAAUGCAAGAAUUUGUUAAAAGAUUUCUAGCUGAUUGAAUUGUAAAUACUAACAUUAGGUACACUAAUAUUCAAAAAUAAACAAAAAAGUGUCUACCAUAUAGCCAACAAAGUGCAUAGCAAAACAGUGACUGGUGUCACUGCAAUAACCUUGACAGACACCUUGCUCUUAGCUUGUGGUAGUUUUAUACUCAGCUCUUAGUGCCAUUGAAAAAAUGCAAAUCAAUAUUUUGUGCCAAAGAGGCUUCAGUGGAAUUUAAACUGUCUGAAGGCUAAACUACACACUUUAUUAAAUAAUAUAGCAUACAGAGAGCCUCACUUUCUUACAUUUGUGUAAGGAGGGGGUGAGUUUAGUCUGGAUAAUCACAUGCAGACAGAGGGGAUUUCAAUAUAUCCAUUCAAUCACUUUUUACUAAUUUAAAUUAAAUUGAAAUUCUCUAUCUGGUACAAUUCUUGCUCUUUUGCAGCAUUUGGGAUUGGUGGAGGAAGAUUAUAGGUCUUAAAUACUUCCAUGCUUAUAAAAUUACCGGCACAUAGAGGGAAAGGUUUUUUAAGCUUAAUCUUCCAGACAUACUAGUGCACAGGAUGUGUCAUAAACACAUGGGAACCCUUACUAGCAGUCCAGAAAUAUGCUGCCCAGCAAGAACUGUAUCAGUGUUUUCUGAUUGUGUAAGAGGCAAGCAAUUGCCACUGCAACCCACAACUAAUUUCAAGUAAUGAUGUCUCAUAAUAAUAGCACUGGAGCUAAUUUAGUCCUAUGUCCUGCUGGGUGCAGUAUUCAUUUAACUACAGCAUCUCUGACAGAUGACCAUCCAAUCUCUGUUUAAAUACCACCCAUAGAAAAAGUGUCUACCACUUCACAAGGCAGUGUGUUUCACUGCAAAAGAGCUGUUCCUGUUAGGAAGUUUCUCCCAAUGACUACAAGUGUUUACAGUAAAAAAAAAAAAAAAAAAGUUACUGGCCAAGAAACAGUAUAAUGUAAAAAUGAUAUGCCAUUGUGGCUUUAGGUAGUCCUAAAAACACUUGCAUGCUCAUUAGGUCUCACUGCCUUCAGAUGGUAUAUAGGCAUGUUGAAUAGGAUAUACAUGGUAUACAAGUGAAUUUAAGGCUACAAUCCUAUAUCCAGUUUCUUGGGAAUAAGUCUCACCAAUUCAGAGGAACAUAUAUCUGAGCAGAUAAGCAAACAAAUUGCAUUGUAAGGCUGUAACCCUAUGCAUAUUAACAAAGAAUUAAAUCCAAUGAGAUCCAGUGGGACAUAUUUUCAAGAAAACAUGUGUAGGAUUAUGCUGCAUGGCAAGAGUUGGUCUUAGAUGAAGAAUGAACUCAGAAUGGCUUUGGGCUGAUCCACUGUAUGAAUAUAAACUUUAUUUGUACUUAUUAAUAAUUUAUACAUGUAUUUGGAUGAUGGCUGGAACCUAUGAAUGUAUAUACAUAUGAAUUCUUCUGCUGUAUUCAAGGCUCCUCCAUUUUAAGAGCAAGAAUUUUACAAACGAAGCAUCAGAAAAUAAUUAUUAUAUGCCCAAUCCCCAAAGCACUCCGCCGGCACAAACCCCACUGAGGACAGGAGCCUUAAGCAUGGAACUUGCCUGCAUCAAACUUACGCACAGGCAAGCUUCCUAUCACUAUACAGUAAAUGAGAACAACUUUUACUUUGAGGUAUGACAGAGUGACUCUGAUGCAUGUCUAACCAACUCCAGUGAUGACAAAUCAGUUGUGACCCAAGGAGAGUAAUGAAGCAACCGAAGCAACCAGCUGGUACAUUACACCAUAUUUUUCUGAAUAAGUUUGGCCAGUCUAGAUCAGGAAUCCAGUGCAUGUGUUACUUUAGUUUUUUAAAAAAAAAAUCAGAAUGUGACAGUAUGUUUUACAUAAUUCUGGAAGUUUUUCAUCAUUAUUUUUUAUCAUUGCACUCCAGUAACAGAACUGAAUACAAAUUUCCACUAUCAACUGGCUAUGCUCAAGGUUUGCACAUGCCCACCCUAUCUAGAAGCUAACAGGACUAAGAACUGGCUGAUAUAUGGAUGGGUGACUUUGUGCAAAUCUGGAAUUUUGUAAGAAGCCAUGUAAUACCUUACUAGCUGGCAAACUGUUAAUAUGUUAAAAUUACUAUUAAGUUGUUUUCCAGAAGAUCAUUCUUUCAUACUCACUGAGUUAGGUUUCAUAACACAUUUAGGUGUUUUGGGUUUAUGAUUAACUUCUUGAAUUAGAAAUUAUCUAUGUGCUUAAAUUUCUAAAAAUUCAUUACAGAAAACUAUUGGUUCCAAUAAUAUAUAUAUUUUUUAAAAUCUAAAAUGAAGAGGAGCACUAUUUGCUUACAGUCCACCACAUCAGCUUUCUUUUGCCAUCAUCCUCCAAGCACUUUAAUGGUGCAAGUCCUACUGAGGUGAUGGGGCACUACAUCAGCUUAACGCUUUGCAGAUUGGGCUACAAGUGUUUGGAUAUGUACAGUUUUCAUUUUUUCCCUCUGUUCAUUCAAAAUGCAAACUGUCAUGACUUGAUGACAAGUAAAUAAUAUUUCAUACUAUGUAUGUAACAUUGGUGUGUUGCAGUACUCCCCAUCCCAUGCCUACCACAAAUGUAACAAUAUCAUCCCAUUAUUCUCCCCAUGUUGGCUUUCCAUGGACACACAGGAGGUUCAAGCAAUGAAGGUCUUAAUGCUUACGAAAAACAACUGGAUCAGAAGUCACUCAAAACCAUUAAUUCCACCUUCCCCACUUUAUGCAAAAGUUCAAGCUGGUUACACAUUAUUCCAUAAACCAAUGGUGUAAAGCUUUUUUUUAAAGUGGCUCAUUUUAUGCAGUUAUCAUGAUACGUUAAAAUUUUUCAAGAUUUUCAUUGCUUGUUUUUCUAAAUCUUCACUGAUUGUAGUAAAAGAAAAAGGGGGCUUGGUCACACUGCAUUAAAUAAAGGCUACAGCAACCUUCGGUUUGUAGAAUGUACUGAAAUGUUUGCAGCCCUCCUGGGAUCCAGUACAAAAUGUGAAAUAUUACUGUAAGAGGGUAUCUUUCUAAUGUAUUUGUAUGUAUAGUUUACACCUCUGUGAGGUCUAAUAAAGAAUAAUGGUUAAUAAACAUCGGCAUCUUUUGU